Molecule: small nucleolar RNA, 91 nt
Organism: Panicum hallii
Lineage: Eukaryota; Viridiplantae; Streptophyta; Magnoliopsida; Poales; Poaceae
Product: small nucleolar RNA SNORD96 family
Exons: 1
Source: RefSeq, a predicted model, not a curated record
UUGUCGGUGAUGAAAAACUCAUAAAAAAUACCAUCUUUCGGGACUGAUUGGCCUCCUGUGGCCAUGCUGCGAUUCUGCAAUUCUGAGGCCA